This 408-nucleotide ribosomal RNA is filed under the name uncultured bacterium. RNAcentral's name for it is "partial 16S ribosomal RNA". It matches the Rfam family "Bacterial small subunit ribosomal RNA", at positions 28 to 526 of the family's 1533-position model. The record is from RNAcentral.
GACGAACGCUGGCGGCGUGCUUAACACAUGCAAGUCGAACGAAGUGGCGAACGGGUGAGUAAUACGUGGGUAACCUGCCCUCCUUUUUGGGAUAAGCCUUGGAAACGGGGUCUAAUACCGAAUAAAGGGGGAUGGGCUCGCGGCCUAUCAGCUUGUUGGUGGGGUGAUGGCCUACCAAGGCGGUGACGGGUAGCCGGCCUGAGAGGGUGACCGGGCACAUUGGGACGGAGAGACGGCCCAGACUCCCACGGGAGGGAGCAGUGGGGGAUAUUGGAAAAUGGGCGAAAGGCUGAUUGAGCGACGCCGCGGUGGGGGUGAAGGGUUUCGGGGUGUAAAACUCUUUCGCGAUCGAAAGGGUAGGUGGAGAAGAAGCGCCGGCUAACUACGUGCCAGCAGCCGCGGUAAUUC